AAGUCGUAACAAGGUUUCCGUAGGUGAACCUGCGGAAGGAUCAUUACGUAUUUUUAGGCCGGUCUGACCGGUUCUAUUCAACCCUGUUUUUUGCGUACUUUCUUGUUUCCUCGGUAGGCUUGCCUGCCGUUAGGACAUUUUUAACCAUUCAUGUUUUGUACUUCAGCGUCAAAAAACAAUACAAUUAUAACAACUUUCAACAACGGAUCUCUUGGUUCUG
Molecule: unclassified non-coding RNA, 220 nt
Filed under: fungal sp.
Lineage: Eukaryota; Fungi
Description: partial internal transcribed spacer region
Rfam family: Eukaryotic small subunit ribosomal RNA (bases 1-46)
Source: RNAcentral